GACGAACGCUGGCGGCGUGCUUAACACAUGCAAGUCGAACGGUAAGGCCCUUCGGGGUACACGAGUGGCGAACGGGUGAGUAACACGUGGGUGAUCUGCCCUGCACUUCGGGAUAAGCCUGGGAAACUGGGUCUAAUACCGGAUAGGACCACUGCCUGCAUGGGUGGUGGUGGAAAGCUUUUGCGGUGUGGGAUGGGCCCGCGGCCUAUCAGCUUGUUGGUGGGGUGAUGGCCUACCAAGGCGACGACGGGUAGCCGGCCUUAGAGGGUGACCGGCCACACUGGGACUGAGAUACGGCCCAGACUCCUACGGGAGGCAGCAGUGGGGAAUAUUGCACAAUGGGCGCAAGCCUGAUGCAGCGACGCCGCGUGAGGGAUGACGGCCUUCAGGUUGUAAACCUCUUUCAGCACCGACGAAGCGCAAGUGACGGUAGGUGCAGAAGAAGGACCGGCCAACUACGUGCCAGCCGCCGCGGUAA
This 478-nucleotide ribosomal RNA is filed under the name uncultured bacterium. Its description in RNAcentral is "partial 16S ribosomal RNA". It matches the Rfam family "Bacterial small subunit ribosomal RNA", at positions 28 to 523 of the family's 1533-position model. The record is from RNAcentral.